GAAACCGGAGCUGAUACCGGAUAAUAUAUUGAACCGCAUGGUUCAAUAGUGAAAGACGGUUUUGCUGUCACUUAUAGAUGGAUCCGCGCCGCAUUAGCUAGUUGGUAAGGUAACGGCUUACCAAGGCAACGAUGCGUAGCCGACCUGAGAGGGUGAUCGGCCACACUGGAACUGAGACACGGUCCAG
Molecule: ribosomal RNA, 187 nt
Filed under: uncultured Staphylococcus sp.
Lineage: Bacteria; Bacillati; Bacillota; Bacilli; Caryophanales; Staphylococcaceae
Description: partial 16S ribosomal RNA
Rfam family: Bacterial small subunit ribosomal RNA
Source: RNAcentral